RNAcentral lists this ribosomal RNA (1287 nucleotides) under Ambassis interrupta (long-spined glass perchlet). RNAcentral's name for it is "partial 16S ribosomal RNA". It matches the Rfam family "Bacterial large subunit ribosomal RNA", at positions 568 to 2562 of the family's 2925-position model. The record is from RNAcentral. Lineage: Eukaryota; Metazoa; Chordata; Actinopteri; Ambassidae.
AAGCAGAGAUUAACCCUCGUACCUUUUGCAUCAUGAUUUAGCUAGCAAACCCAAGCAUAAAGCAUUUUAGUUUGAACCCCGAAACUAGGUGAGCUACUCCAAGACAGCCUAUGAAUUAGGGCAAACCCGUCUCUGUGGCAAAAGAGUGGGGAGAGCUUUGAGUAGCGGUGACAGACCUACCGAACCUAGUUAUAGCUGGUUGCCUGUGAAUUGAAUUAAAGUUCAGCUUCUUGAAUUCUCCCCUCCCCCCUGCCCACUGCACACCCAGACAAAGAGAAGCCAAGAAAGUUAGUCAUAAGAGGUACAGCUCUUGUGAAACAGACUCAACUUUUUAAAAUGGGUAAAGAUCAUACAAAUUAAAGGCUUGUACCCCAGUGGGCUUAAAAGCAGCCAUCUAUAUAGAAAGCGUUACAGCUCCAAUACUCCGUCCCCUCUUAUCCCGAUAAAGAAAUCCCACCCCUUUUAUAAAUUAACAAGCCCUCCCAUUCACUUGGGAGAGACCAUGCUAAAAUGAGUAACUUGAGACCCUCCCCUCUCUCUCCUGGCAUAUGUGUACAUCGAAACGGACCAUCCACCGAACAUUAACGGCCCCAACCCCAGAGGGCACUGAGUAAUUAUUUACAACACAAGAAAAACGCUCACCAUACACACCGUUAACCCCACACCACAUGCCUGAAAAGAAAGACUAAAAGAAAAAGAAGGAACUCGGCAAACACAAGCCUCGCCUGUUUACCAAAAACAUCGCCUCUUGUCACCCCCAAAUAAGAGGUCCCGCCUGCCCUGUGACAACAUGUUUAACGGCCGCGGUAUCCUAACCGUGCGAAGGUAGCGCAAUCACUUGUCUUUUAAAUAAGGACCUGUAUGAAUGGCACAACGAGGGCUUAACUGUCUCCUUUUUCCAGUCAAUGAAAUUGAUCUUCCCGUGCAGAAGCGGGAAUAACAACAUAAGACGAGAAGACCCUGUGGAGCUUUAGAUAAUGAGCUGACCAAACUAAAGACCCCCAAAACAGAACCAAAAUUUUGACCACAGCUCUACAUCUUCGGUUGGGGCGACCGCGGAGGAACAAAAAUCCCCCACGCAGACUAGGUGAACAAUUAUAUCACCCAAAACCAAGAACUACAAUUCAAAGAAACAGAAUCUCUGACUUUAAAAUGACCCGGCUCAUUAAGCCGAUCAACGAACCAAGUUACCCCAGGGAUAACAGCGCAAUCCUCUUCUAGAGUCCAUAUCGACAAGAGGGCUUACGACCUCGAUGUUGGAUCAGGACAUCCUAAUGGUGCAGCCGC